This is a non-coding RNA of Oryza glumipatula, 209 nucleotides long. The record is from Rfam. Lineage: Eukaryota; Viridiplantae; Streptophyta; Magnoliopsida; Poales; Poaceae.
UUUACGUGCAAUUAUAAGUUUCCGUGUCCAAUUUUAAUCUUCUAUUUUAUUUAAAAUUUCUUUUUUAUUAGUGUUUUUAUUGUUAUUAGAUGAUAAGGCAUAAACAAUAUUUUUAUGUGUAACUUAUGUUUUUAAUUUUUUAAAAAAAAUUUAAAUAAGACAGUCGAUUAAAAUUGAAUAUGAGUUUUAAACUCAUGGUUACACCUAAA